UAUUUGUUGGUGUAAAGAGCACAUAAAGUUUUGAUCUUUAAAGGGGCGGUGUAAAUCCGUUACAGAUAA
This 69-nucleotide transfer RNA is filed under the name Portunus sanguinolentus (three spot swimming crab). RNAcentral describes it as "tRNA-Gln". Lineage: Eukaryota; Metazoa; Arthropoda; Malacostraca; Decapoda; Portunidae. The record is from RNAcentral.